Molecule: ribosomal RNA, 418 nt
Filed under: uncultured bacterium
Lineage: Bacteria
Description: bacterial SSU rRNA
Rfam family: Bacterial small subunit ribosomal RNA
Source: RNAcentral
UACGGAAGGCAGCAGUGGGGAAUAUUGCACAAUGGGCGCAAGCCUGAUGCAGCCAUGCCGCGUGUAUGAAGAAGGCCUUCGGGUUGUAAAGUACUUUCAGCGGGGAGGAAGGCGGUGGAGUUAAUAGCUUCACCGAUUGACGUUACCCGCAGAAGAAGCACCGGCUAACUCCGUGCCAGCAGCCGCGGUAAUACGGAGGGUGCAAGCGUUAAUCGGAAUUACUGGGCGUAAAGCGCACGCAGGCGGUCUGUCAAGUCGGAUGUGAAAUCCCCCGGGCUUAACCUGGGAACUGCAUUCGAAACUGGCAGGCUAGAGUCUUGUAGAGGGGGUAGAAUUCCAGGUGUAGCGGUGAAAUGCGUAGAGAUCUGGAGGAAUACCGGUGGCGAAGGCGGCCCCUGGACAAAGCUGACGCUCAGGU